This 62-nucleotide transfer RNA is filed under the name Podagricomela nigricollis. Its description in RNAcentral is "tRNA-Cys". The record is from RNAcentral. Lineage: Eukaryota; Metazoa; Arthropoda; Insecta; Coleoptera; Chrysomelidae.
AGUCUUAUAUUCAAGUAUGAUUUUAAAUUGCAAAUUUAAAGGUAAAGUUAAUUUUAAGGCUU